RNAcentral lists this unclassified non-coding RNA (329 nucleotides) under Hevea brasiliensis (rubber tree). Lineage: Eukaryota; Viridiplantae; Streptophyta; Magnoliopsida; Malpighiales; Euphorbiaceae. The record is from RNAcentral.
GCACAUAUUUUUUGGAGCUUAGUUUCUCCAGAAUUUUGCAAAAUUUAUUCAAAAGGUACCCAUGAAAUUCUGCUCUUGCUAAUAAUUGAGGGAAGAGGAGUUUAUGGUUUAGUUGUUUGUCUCUUAGCAUAUGCUGUAGCUACAAUCACAGAAUUGUACGGAAAAUUCCUUCAUUGAUCUAAACUGGACUAAAAAUGAGCACCAAGGAACUAGAGACAUACCUAUCUGAUGUUGGAAGCUCAAAUCAGUUCGAGACAAACAGUUCAAAAUAUGUCUCUCAUGUCAAGAAGUUACUAUAUCGACGAAUGCUGGUUGGUAUAAGUGAUGGA